RNA transcript from Pantherophis guttatus, 3121 nucleotides. It is a transcript of the gene named heterogeneous nuclear ribonucleoprotein A3, with no coding region annotated. NCBI's taxonomy places the organism in Eukaryota, Metazoa, Chordata, Lepidosauria, Squamata, Colubridae. The record is from RefSeq and is a predicted model, not a curated record.
UGUACAGUAGCUCGUAUCAAAAACAUAAAUUUGAAACAAUUUCUCCCCCCUCCUCUUCCUCGCCCCCGUUUCCUUGCCGCCGAGCCCGCCUUCCUCCCUCACGUGGCCUAGUUUCCUCUGACCCGCUCCUCCCACCCCCUUCCUCUCGACUCCAUAUUGAGGCUGAAGGAGGCUCACAAAAUCCAGUCACAAAAUGGAGGUUAAAAGGAGCAACUGAGUCAGAACACACUCCCAAAAUGGCGUGUAAAGAGGAGAGAGAGGAUGAAGAUUACAAGAGAAGGGGAAGAAGAUCCUCACAGGGUCAUGAUCCUAAAGAACCAGAACAAUUGAGAAAGCUGUUUAUUGGUGGCUUGAGCUUUGAAACAACAGAUGAUAGCCUAAGAGACCACUUCGAAAAAUGGGGCACACUCACAGAUUGUGUGGUGAUGAGAGACCCACAGACAAAGCGCUCUCGAGGCUUUGGUUUUGUGACCUAUUCUUGUGUGGAAGAAGUAGAUGCUGCAAUGGCAGCUCGACCACAUAAAGUUGAUGGCCGUGUGGUAGAGCCAAAGAGGGCUGUUUCUAGAGAAGAUUCUGUGAAACCUGGUGCUCAUUUAACAGUAAAGAAAAUAUUUGUUGGUGGAAUUAAAGAAGACACAGAAGAAUAUAAUUUAAGAGAUUAUUUUGGAAAAUAUGGCAAAAUUGAAACCAUUGAAGUAAUGGAAGACAGGCAGAGUGGAAAGAAAAGAGGUUUUGCCUUUGUGACAUUUGAUGAUCAUGAUACAGUAGACAAAAUUGUUGUUCAGAAAUAUCACACUAUAAAUGGACAUAACUGUGAAGUGAAGAAAGCUCUCUCCAAGCAAGAAAUGCAGACUGCAACCGCACAAAGAAGUCGUGGGAGUAGUUCAAGCAACUUCAUGGGUCGUGGGAACUUUGGAGGCAGUGGUGGAAGUUACAACAGAGGUGGAAGUUUUGGUAGUAGAGGAAGCUACGGUAGUGGAGGUGGCAGCAGCAGUAGAGGAAGCUUUGGCAGUGGCGAUGGAUAUAAUGGUUUUGGUGAUGGUGGAAAUUAUGGUGGUAGCCCUGGAUAUGGUAGCCGAGGUGGUUAUGGUGGUAGCCCAAGCUAUGGAAAUCCAGGUGGUGGAUAUGGUACAGGAGGUGGAGGCUAUGAUGGUUAUAAUGAAGGAGGAAGCUUUGGAGGCAACUAUGGUGGCAGUGGAAGCUACAAUGAUUUUGGCAACUACAGUGGACAGCAGGCUUCAAGUUAUGGACCCAUGAAAGGAAGUGGCAGUUUCAGUGGCAGAAGUUCAGGCAGUCCCUAUGGUGGUAGCUAUGGAUCAGGUGGAGGAAGUGGUGGCUAUGGUGGAAGAAGAUUCUAAAAACUAGUGGGAUAAUGAUUGUUGAAGAAACCUCUGUGACCAGAGGUGGAUAUCUUAUUGGAAAACUUUUGCUUGGUAAGAAUGUACAACACUAAUGUUUCUUUUAUUGUAUUCUGAGCUCUGAAAAUUUGGAGAGAACAACAAACUGGGUAAAUGUGAAAUAUAUUGAAUAUUUAUUAUUGUAUUCAAAUCAAUGUGGAUGGGCAUAUUAAAACAACUAACUGGCAUUUAGAUCUAAAAUUCUACCAUUCACAGUACUUCAGACAGCUGUUAUAGAGGUGGGUGAUUAACAAUUGGACCUUUCUGGGGAUGAGGCUUAAUUUAGGAUUUUGAAGUUUUAGAGACCAUAUCUAUGUGAGGGUGGGGGGAGAUCAAAUAUCCACCAAUUAAUGAGAAGUAACAUUUUUUUAAAAUCCUUUGCUUUAGCUAAAUUCGUGACUUGUGAAUGGCUCAAAAAAUUAUAGUGGUUUCCAGUAGGGUUCAUCAUCAUCUAUACAGUAGACGUUGGUUAUAAUAGGCAAUUUGCACGCAACAUCAUGUAUCGGCAUGAAUGGAAUGGGAGGGGAAGUGAGCUUGAAACGAAACAUUUUCAAUAUGUAGAGAUUUUUUCCCCUGAUGAAACAACAUACCUUUGCUUUAGCAUAGGAAAAAUGGGUACUCCUUGAAACAAGCUUUAUUACCCUGCUUACCAAGAACAAAAUGUUGACUCUAGCUGAGUAUGUAAAGCAAUGGAACAAAUUAUUUUGUUUUACUUUUGAGAACUCUAAGAACAGUGGUUGGUUGCUUUUUGCAUGCUCCUGGCAUAUAGCUUCUUAAUGCUGUUACCAGAAUUUGUUAGGAAUCAUUGUAUUGUGGAGGGAUAAUUUCCCAGUGAUUUUGGUAAGAAAGGUGUAUGAUGCAUCACAGAUUGUUGAACAUACCUAAUUACGUACAUCAGGCAAGAAAGACGGAAAAAAGCACAUAACCUUUCAUACAACCUGAAAAUCCUUAUUUUAUUACUUGUGUGAUUUUUCAGUUAGAAAAGUAGCCAAUAAUAAAGUUAGCAUUGCUGGAUUCCUAUUGGUAAUGUUUCUAAUUGCCAAAUUGCAGGCAAGAAAAUCAGUAACAUUCUCACCUGGAAUACUUGAUGUGCCCUCUAAAUUAAUUUUCAGGUAACAAAUCUUUAAAACGAGUUUCUGGGGGUUUUAAAGGAUUUUUUAAAAACUCAUUCUGUAAACCUUAAUUGUGUAAACUAAUACUGAAAUUCAUUUGCCUUAUUCUGUUGUUAUUCUGCAUGUAAAAGAGUAGGAUUGUGAUUCCAGAUUGUCUGCAUUUUUUGGCUUGUCAGCAUCUCAGUUUAACUCACAAGUUAUGAAUUUAUGAGCAGUUUAUAAUUUCUGUACCUAUCUACAGUAGCAUCAAUUGUACAAAUUGUUAUGUUAUAGUAAAUAGGAACUGUGGCUAAUUGCAACUGAAUAUUAGAGAAUAUUUAUGGAUUGUGUCUUGCUAUUCUAGGACUGAAUGGCAAAGAGCACCUAUGCUCCCUUUUUGUCUUAUGAAAACAGGGUUGAGGCUAAAAUGGGUACAGUAAUCUCAGCAAUCCCCAGCAAGAUGGAAAUGGGGAUGACUAAUCCUGAAGAAACAAUCGUCUGUUUCCAUAAAUUGAAAUUUUUGAUUCUUCAAUGGAACAUGCAUACAACUGAUAGCUAUGAGAGCAAAAAUUGAAGCAUGUAAUAAUCAAAUGCUUAUAAUAAAAUACAGUUAACCAUGAUAGUGAAUCUCAA